RNAcentral lists this ribosomal RNA (427 nucleotides) under uncultured bacterium. RNAcentral describes it as "partial 16S ribosomal RNA". It matches the Rfam family "Bacterial small subunit ribosomal RNA", at positions 355 to 774 of the family's 1533-position model. The record is from RNAcentral.
UGGGGAAUAUUGGACAAUGGGCGAAAGCCUGAUCCAGCCAUGCCGCGUGUGUGAAGAAGGUCUUCGGAUUGUAAAGCACUUUAAGUUGGGAGGAAGGGCAUUAACCUAAUACGUUAGUGUUUUGACGUUACCGACAGAAUAAGCACCGGCUAACUCUGUGCCAGCAGCCGCGGUAAUACAGAGGGUGCAAGCGUUAAUCGGAAUUACUGGGCGUAAAGCGCGCGUAGGUGGUUUGUUAAGUUGGAUGUGAAAUCCCCGGGCUCAACCUGGGAACUGCAUUCAAAACUGACUGACUAGAGUAUGGUAGAGGGUGGUGGAAUUUCCUGUGUAGCGGUGAAAUGGGUAGAUAUAGGAAGGAACACCAGUGGCGAAGGCGACCACCUGGACUAAUACUGACACUGAGGUGCGAAAGCGUGGGGAGCAAACA